GACGAACGCUGGCGGCGUGCCUAAUACAUGCAAGUUGAGCGAUGAAGAUUGGUGCUUGCACCAAUUUGAAGAGCAGCGCACGGGUGAGUAACGCGUGGGGAAUCUGCCUUUGAGCGGGGGACAACAUUUGGAAACGAAUGCUAAUACCGCAUAAUAACUUUAAACAUAAGUUUUAAGUUUGAAAGAUGCAAUUGCAUCACUCAAAGAUGAUCCCGCGUUGUAUUAGCUAGUUGGUGAGGUAAAGGCUCACCAAGGCGAUGAUACAUAGCCGACCUGAGAGGGUGAUCGGCCACAUUGGGACUGAGACACGGCCCAAACGCCUACGGGAGGCAGCAGUAGGGAAUCUUCGGCAAUGGACGAAAGUCUGACCGAGCAACGCCGCGUGAGGGAAGAAGGUUUUCGGAUCGUAAAACUCUGUUGGUAGAGAAGAACGUUGGUGAGAGUGGAAAGCUCAUCAAGUGACGGUAACUACCCAGAAAGGGACGGCUAACUACGUG
This 497-nucleotide ribosomal RNA is filed under the name uncultured bacterium. Its description in RNAcentral is "partial 16S ribosomal RNA". It matches the Rfam family "Bacterial small subunit ribosomal RNA", at positions 28 to 507 of the family's 1533-position model. The record is from RNAcentral.